This 253-nucleotide ribosomal RNA is filed under the name uncultured bacterium. Its description in RNAcentral is "partial 16S ribosomal RNA". It matches the Rfam family "Bacterial small subunit ribosomal RNA", at positions 524 to 776 of the family's 1533-position model. The record is from RNAcentral.
UACAGAGGUCCCAAGCGUUGUUCGGAUUCAUUGGGCGUAAAGGGUGCGUAGGCGGCGCGGUAAGUCGGGUGUGAAAUCUCGGAGCUUAACUCCGAAACUGCAUUCGAUACUGCCGUGCUUGAGGACUGGAGAGGAGACUGGAAUUUACGGUGUAGCGGUGAAAUGCGUAGAUAUCUGGAGGAAUACCGGUGGCGAAGGCGGCAUCCUGGACCGACAUUGACGCUGAGGAGCGAAAGCUAGGGGAGCAAACGGG